RNAcentral lists this ribosomal RNA (443 nucleotides) under uncultured bacterium. Its description in RNAcentral is "partial 16S ribosomal RNA". It matches the Rfam family "Bacterial small subunit ribosomal RNA", at positions 338 to 795 of the family's 1533-position model. The record is from RNAcentral.
CCUACGGUAGGCAGCAGUGGGGAAUAUUGGACAAUGGGGGGAACCCUGAUCCAGCGACGCCGCGUGAGUGAAGAAGUAUUUCGGUAUGUACAGCUCUAUCAGCAGGGAAGAAAGAAAUGACGGUACCUGACUAAGAAGCCCCGGCUAACUACGUGCCAGCAGCCGCGGUAAUACGUAGGGGGCAAGCGUUAUCCGGAUUUACUGGGUGUAAAGGGAGCGUAGACGGCGAUGCAAGUCUGAAGUGAAAGGCGGGGGCCCAACCCCCGGACUGCUUUGGAAACUGUAUGGCUGGAGUGCAGGAGAGGUAAGUGGAAUGCCUAGUGUAGCGGUGAAAUGCGUAGAUAUUAGGAGGAACACCAGUGGCGAAGGCGGCUUACUGGACUGUAACUGACGUUGAGGCUCGAAAGCGUGGGGAGCAAACAGGAUUAGAUACCCGAGUAGUC